RNAcentral lists this long non-coding RNA (344 nucleotides) under Nicotiana benthamiana. RNAcentral describes it as "long non-coding RNA (NBEN_LNC037541)". The record is from RNAcentral. Lineage: Eukaryota; Viridiplantae; Streptophyta; Magnoliopsida; Solanales; Solanaceae.
UUUCGGAGAACCCAGAGAAGAUGAGAAAACCUCAAAAUAUUAUUAGUUUUAGCCGGAAAAGUCAUAAAUCUUACUCGAACAGUCGAAUGUGGCCGAAAAAUGGCGUGAAAGACCAUGGAUUGCAGUUGAACCGCUCCAAGUUCACCUGAGGACCUCAAGGUAGUGUCGAACUGGCAUGGGGUGAAGCAGAGGCCAGGAGAUGAUGAGAGGCCAUGGUUUCGGGCGAGGGAGGUGACCGAAGAAGGUGGACAGGGUCCAUCAGAGAUGAGGGGAGAGAGAAUGUUCUAGAGAGAACUAGAGAUAGAUAGAUAGAGAGAGAGAGAGAGAGAGAGAGAGAGAGAGAU